RNAcentral lists this ribosomal RNA (582 nucleotides) under Sticta menziesii. RNAcentral's name for it is "SSU rRNA". It matches the Rfam family "Bacterial small subunit ribosomal RNA", at positions 493 to 1058 of the family's 1533-position model. The record is from RNAcentral. Lineage: Eukaryota; Fungi; Ascomycota; Lecanoromycetes; Peltigerales; Lobariaceae.
UUGACCAAAUUACGUGCCAGCAGUCGCGGUAAUACGUACAAGACUAGUGUUAUUCAUCUUUAUUAGGUUUAAAGCGUACCUUGACGGUUAAUAAAGCCCAAAAGAAAUGAAUACGGGGGACACAUUAACUAGAGUUAUAUGAAAGGAAGCUAUAAGGUACUGUUGAGUGUACAGAUGAAAUUCUGUUAUACCAGAUGAGUGGCACAGAUUAAUGCGAAGGCGUCUUCUUAUGUAAUAACUGACGUUGUAGGACGAAGGCUUAAGAAGUGAACAGGAUUAGGUACCCCAGUAAUCUAGGCAGAAAAUGAUGAAUGUCAUAGGUUGAAUACAGACAGGUUAAAUUGACUAUAGGUGGUAUAUUAAUCAGUCUAUUAUUGUGUCUAUAAAUGAAAGUGUAAGCAUUCCACCUCACGAGUAAUUUGGCAACUUUGGAACUGAAAUCAUUAGACCGUUUCUGAAACCAGUACUGAAGUAUGUUGUUUAAUUAUAUGAUACACAAGAACCUUACCACAACUAUAUUUUUUAAUAUACUUUGAAUAUAUAUAUAUAUUAUAUUUACAAGCGCUGCUCGGCUGUCUUCAG